AGCGCGGCGCGGGUCGCUGCCGCUGCCGUCACCGUUCCCUGCCUCGGGCACGCGGGUGGCUGGAGCGGGGACGCGGCCGGGUGCGGUGGGGAGAGGCAGCGGGCAGCCCCUCGCUGUUCCGGGGUGAGGGAGCUGGUGAACGAAGCGGUUCUUCCGAGACCUGGCGGGCUGUCCAAGGAAACAGCCAGACAUGUUUAAUCACACACUGAAAAGAUGGAGGAGUGUGACCUUUGAUUUCUCCAGUGUCAUUCAGAGGGAAUGGCUGAGGUUUUUCUUUGCACUUAGCAACAGGAGAAAAACAAGAUGAACGGUUAUGGAGUUUAAUCAUAUGAAUUUGAGAGAAUGGUCUCAUCCUUUUCUCUCUCAUUUGCUACAAUUAAUUGUUAUUUUUAUAUAUCAUAGUCACACCUUGGAGCCUUUGUCGUGGAUCUUAUUGCAAAUUUGGUAUGAACAUGCAAUACCUAACGAGUGAAUUAUCUUCUGUGAAAGGCAGUUAUUUUUCUUCCCUCAGGAAGGGAGGAAAGCUUCACAGCCUGGUUUCAGUGUAUGUCCAAGCUGCUUCAUGUCUCGUGUCCCCUUUGGACAAGAGGGCUUUUUGUAAUGAGGGGCACAAACACAGCCUCAGCAGUAACAAGUGCAAGGUUGGAACCAUGGGGGAGACUGGUGUUAGUAGAAGGACCUUGGGAUCAAAGCAGCAAACACCCCUGCUUAGCACUCAAGUGCUCGUGCAAGUGGACUGGCUUGGGGAGUGCAGUGGGGAAGAAGUGCUUAAAUACUUUUGAGGAGCCACACAUACCGAUUGGGACUAUGGAAGUUACCCACUUUCCAUCAGAACCCUGCAAACGUUUUCAGAGCAGAUGUGGUCUCACUUCAUCAGUGGCUGUGGAGGUCUCUGAGAAACUCUGGUAGAGGGCCCAGAGCCAGGAGAGCACAAUGACUUCAAGGGCAACAUUGCUGCUGCUGCUGCUUUUGACAGUGCUGUUAGUACUGCAGGAGACUGGACAGGUUCUUCUUUAUUCACCUCUUCCACGAGAACAACAACUCAAAGUGGUGUUCCCUUGAAAAUGUCUUUGUUGAUAAUUUUCACUUCAUCCCGUGCUGAUGCUAUUACAAAGAUGGUAUAUGAGAAGACAGCAUACUGUGAGGACAGUGCUCUAGUACCUGAGCAGUGACCAAACCUUAGCUUGGAGAGGAGGGAAGGAGCAAUUUGCCACCUUUCCAGCAAUCUGCUUUGGAAUUGCAAAAUAUGAUAUUAGGGAUGAUGGGAAUACAGAAAGAACCUGCAGUUCAGUUCAGAGUAAAAGGUCAAUGCAGGAGAACAGAAGGCUGCUGUCUCUCCUUCUGGCAAGCACAUUAUUAUAGAUAGGACAGAGAGAGGGACUUUGCCAUACAGUGAAAUGGGGCAAAGGAGAAAGGUAACAGAGUUCUUAACUACCCAUAACUAGGGAGUAAAAAAACUUUCCCUUCAAAGUCAAAUGAAGUAAAAGCCAUACUUGAGGAGAUGAAAAACGUUAGAGGCUGUGCACCACCAAGAGGGGAUGUGUACCCCAAGACCAGGGAUCGAUACCUGGCCUUCCAUCAGAGAAACAGUGUGAUGCUGCAGGCAGGACUGAGAACCCUUGUCUUUCCCAUUCACCCUGCUCACAGUGUGUGAUGCU
This is a long non-coding RNA of Oenanthe melanoleuca, 1658 nucleotides long. RefSeq lists it as uncharacterized. The record is from RefSeq and is a predicted model, not a curated record. NCBI's taxonomy places the organism in Eukaryota, Metazoa, Chordata, Aves, Passeriformes, Muscicapidae. The transcript has 3 exons.